This 362-nucleotide long non-coding RNA is filed under the name Volvox carteri. Its description in RNAcentral is "long non-coding RNA (VCAR_LNC003639)". The record is from RNAcentral. Lineage: Eukaryota; Viridiplantae; Chlorophyta; Chlorophyceae; Chlamydomonadales; Volvocaceae.
GGGCAACGAGCAAAUGCUACCUGUCGCGGACGCAUCACCAGUAUCCGACAGCGCAGCUCCACCUGUUUCCCAAUGUCAUCGAGAGUCCGGACUACACAAUUAGCAUCCCCAUGACACCUGCUCUGCGGUCUGCCACACGAGGGGUCACAGCUAGCCUGCGUUCAACAGCUUUCUGCACCAGGGCCAGCUCUCUUCCCAGUGAUAUGUCAACAGAGCUGGGGGGGAUGUGUUAGCAACGACAGUCUGCAACGUGUUCAAUCAUCCAGCACAACUGCACAGCACGCAUGUGUUAGUCCCUGCAAUCACGCCAGCACCCCUACGGCUGCCUCUACCCAGGCGUCAGAGCACCGGUUGGGAAUGGA